Non-coding RNA from Morchella snyderi, 73 nucleotides. Lineage: Eukaryota; Fungi; Ascomycota; Pezizomycetes; Pezizales; Morchellaceae. The record is from the annotation of a GenBank genome assembly.
GACCGUGUAGCGUAGUGGUUAGCGCGUCUGCUUUACACGCAGAAGGUCGCAGGUUCGAACCCUGCCACAGUCA